RNAcentral lists this non-coding RNA (227 nucleotides) under Paenibacillus sp. Its description in RNAcentral is "T-box sequence". It matches the Rfam family "T-box leader". From Rfam's summary of the family: Uncharged tRNA acts as the effector for transcription antitermination of genes in the T-box leader family. T-boxes are found upstream of many aminoacyl-tRNA synthetase genes and some amino acid biosynthetic genes usually in Gram-positive bacteria. The record is from RNAcentral. Lineage: Bacteria; Bacillati; Bacillota; Bacilli; Caryophanales; Paenibacillaceae.
CCAAACGUUAUGAUUGGGAGUAUUAAGGAUUGCUAUUGUUCAGAGAACCGUCGUAUCGGUGCAAGACGGUCAAUGGUUUCCCCAACUCGCCCAUGAGCGGUAAGACUGACCCGGGUAGGUCUUAACGGAUAACCUCCGUAACCAAGUUUUAAGAUGGUUCGUUUUAUGUUUGAAACGACGAAUCCAAAAAGAGUGGUACCGCGAAGGUAAAACCUAUCGCCUCUUUG